This is a long non-coding RNA of Carassius carassius (crucian carp), 210 nucleotides long. RefSeq lists it as uncharacterized. NCBI's taxonomy places the organism in Eukaryota, Metazoa, Chordata, Actinopteri, Cypriniformes, Cyprinidae. The record is from RefSeq and is a predicted model, not a curated record. The transcript has 2 exons.
AGAACCGCAGCUGUCUGAUAGUGUAGUGUUUGUCCACAGCAGGACUGUCCCUGUCUGCAUGUCACUGCUUGUGCUGCGGGUCCCUCACAGAAUCACUUCCUGUCUGUUCAUAUGUAAAGACUCAGGGAGCUUGCUCUUAUGUUGUAUGUACACCGCUUCCUCUCUGACUGACAGAGGCUGUAAAUAAACCGUCUGAAAGUGCUUUACAAA